UACGGAGGAUGCGAGCGUUAUCCGGAUUUAUUGGGUUUAAAGGGUGCGUAGGCGGGAUGCCAAGUCAGCGGUAAAAAUGCGGUGCUCAACGCCGUCGAGCCGUUGAAACUGGCGUUCUUGAGUGGGCGAGAAGUAUGCGGAAUGUGUGGUGUAGCGGUGAAAUGCAUAGAUAUCACGCAGAACUCCGAUUGCGAAGGCAGCAUACCGGCGCCCUACUGACGCUGAGGCACGAAAGCGUGGGUAUCGAACAGG
RNAcentral lists this ribosomal RNA (252 nucleotides) under uncultured bacterium. Its description in RNAcentral is "partial 16S ribosomal RNA". It matches the Rfam family "Bacterial small subunit ribosomal RNA", at positions 524 to 776 of the family's 1533-position model. The record is from RNAcentral.